GAGACACGAAUCCAGACCCUACGGGGUGCAGCAGGCGCGAAAACUUGGCAAUGCGAGCAAUCGUGACCAGGGAACUCCAAGUGGCUGGGGUAAUACCCAGUUUUUUCUUGACUCUUCAAAGGUCUUGGAAUAAGGGGUGGGUAAGGACGGUGCCAGCCGCCGCGGUAAUACCGGCGCCUCAAGUGGUAGUCGCUUUUAUUGGGCCUAAAACGUCCGUAGCCGGUCUGGUGCAUUCGUGGGUAAAUCAACCCGCUCAACGGGUUGAAUUCUGCGAGCACGGCCAGACUUGGGACCGGGAGAGGUGUGGGGUACUCUCAGGGUAGGGGUAAAAUCCUGUCAUCCUGAGAGGACCACCUGUUGCGAAGGCGCCACACUAGAACGGAUUCGACGGUCAGGGACGAAACCUAGGGGCACGAACCGGAUUAGAUACCCGGGUAGUCCUAGGUGUAAACGCUGUGGACUUGAUGUUGGGGGUGCUCCGAGCACUCUCAGUGUCGAAGCGAAGGUGAUAAGUCCACUGCCUGGGGAGUACGGUCGCAAGGCUGAAACUUAAAGGAAUUGGCGGGGGAGCACUGCAACCUGAGGAUUGUGCGGUUUAAUUGGACUCAACGCCGGGA
This 617-nucleotide ribosomal RNA is filed under the name uncultured Candidatus Poseidoniales archaeon. RNAcentral describes it as "bacterial SSU rRNA". It matches the Rfam family "Archaeal small subunit ribosomal RNA", at positions 305 to 923 of the family's 1478-position model. The record is from RNAcentral. Lineage: Archaea; Methanobacteriati; Thermoplasmatota; Candidatus Poseidoniia; Candidatus Poseidoniales.